RNAcentral lists this transfer RNA (60 nucleotides) under Bacteroidota bacterium. RNAcentral's name for it is "Bacteroidetes bacterium (marine metagenome) tRNA-Gly". It matches the Rfam family "tRNA", at positions 7 to 64 of the family's 71-position model. From Rfam's summary of the family: Transfer RNA (tRNA) molecules are approximately 80 nucleotides in length. The record is from RNAcentral. Lineage: Bacteria; Pseudomonadati; Bacteroidota.
GUAGCUCAGCUGGUAGAGCACCACCUUGCCAAGGUGGAUGUCGCGAGUUCGAAUCUCGUC